UACGAAGGGGGCUAGCGUUAUUCGGAAUCACUGGGCUUAAAGGGUGCGUAGGCGGCGCGGAAAGUUGGGUGUGAAAUCCCUCGGCUCAACCGAGGAACUGCGCCCAAAACUACCGUGCUCGAGGGAGAUAGAGGUGAGCGGAACUUAGGGUGGAGCGGUGAAAUGCGUUGAUAUCCUAAGGAACACCGGUGGCGAAAGCGGCUCACUGGAUCUCUUCUGACGCUGAGGCACGAAAGCUAGGGGAGCAAACAGG
RNAcentral lists this ribosomal RNA (253 nucleotides) under uncultured bacterium. Its description in RNAcentral is "partial 16S ribosomal RNA". It matches the Rfam family "Bacterial small subunit ribosomal RNA", at positions 524 to 776 of the family's 1533-position model. The record is from RNAcentral.